GACGGAGGGGGCUAGCGUUGCUCGGAAUUACUGGGCGUAGAGCGCACGUAGGCGGCUUCUUAAGUCGGGGGUGAAAUCCUGGAGCUCAACUCCAGAACUGCCUUCGAUACUGGGAAGCUCGAGUUCGGGAGAGGUGAGUGGAACUGCGAGUGUAGAGGUGAAAUUCGUAGAUAUUCGCAAGAACACCAGUGGCGAAGGCGGCUCACUGGCCCGAGACUGACGCUGAGGUGCGAAAGCGUGGGGAGCAAACAGG
Molecule: ribosomal RNA, 253 nt
Filed under: uncultured bacterium
Lineage: Bacteria
Description: partial 16S ribosomal RNA
Rfam family: Bacterial small subunit ribosomal RNA
Source: RNAcentral